This 87-nucleotide transfer RNA is filed under the name Myrtus communis. RNAcentral describes it as "tRNA-His". The record is from RNAcentral. Lineage: Eukaryota; Viridiplantae; Streptophyta; Magnoliopsida; Myrtales; Myrtaceae.
AAAUUGAGAAGCUUAACACAAAGGAUGGGCGAACGACGGGAAUUGAACCCGCGCAUGGUGGAUUCACAAUCCACUGCCUUGAUCCAC